RNAcentral lists this microRNA (22 nucleotides) under Gallus gallus (chicken). RNAcentral's name for it is "gga-miR-1625-3p". Lineage: Eukaryota; Metazoa; Chordata; Aves; Galliformes; Phasianidae. The record is from miRBase by way of RNAcentral.
GCAGCAGAAUAUCCCUGCCAUU